GUGCUUACUUCAGUAGCACGUACACUAAAAUUUGGAACAUUACAGGGAAGAUUAGCAUGGCCCUUAUGCAAGGAUGACACACAAAUUUGUGAAGUGUUCCAUAUUCUC
This is a small nuclear RNA of Aotus nancymaae (Ma's night monkey), 108 nucleotides long. The record is from Ensembl. NCBI's taxonomy places the organism in Eukaryota, Metazoa, Chordata, Mammalia, Primates, Aotidae.